This 116-nucleotide ribosomal RNA is filed under the name Pteropus alecto (black flying fox). Lineage: Eukaryota; Metazoa; Chordata; Mammalia; Chiroptera; Pteropodidae. The record is from RNAcentral.
GUCUACAGCCAUGCCACCCUGAACAAGCCCAAUGUCUGAUCUCAGAAGCUAAGCAGGGUCAGGCCUGGUUAGUAAUUGGAUGGGAGACCACCCAGGAAGUCCAGGUGCUGGAGGCA